AGGGGAGGAAAAGAAACCAACAGGGAUUGCCUCAGUAACGGCGAGUGAAGCGGCAAAAGCUCAAAUUUGAAAUCUGGAGCCUUCGGCUUCCGAGUUGUAAUUUGAAGAGGGUGUUUCGGUUGCAGCCUUGGCCUAAGUUCCUUGGAACAGGACGUCAUGGAGGGUGAGAAUCCCGUACAUGGCUGAAGGCUUGCUUCCAUGUGAAACCCCUUCGAAGAGUCGAGUUGUUUGGGAAUGCAGCUCAAAAUGGGUGGUAAAUUUCAUCUAAAGCUAAAUAUUGGCGGGAGACCGAUAGCGCACAAGUAGAGUGAUCGAAAGAUGAAAAGCACUUUGAAAAGAGAGUUAAACAGUACGUGAAAUUGUUGAAAGGGAAGCGCUUGCAAUCAGACUCGCUUUCGGUUGAUCAGCGACGCCUUCUGGCGCGUGCACUCUGCCGUUUGCGGGCCAGCAUCAGUUGGAGCGGUGGGACAAAGACGGCAGGAAUGUGGCUCCCCUCGGGGAGUGUUAUAGCCUGUCGUGCCAUGCCACCAGCACCGACUGAGGUCCGCGGUUCGCCUAGGAUGCUGGCUUAAUGGUUGUAAGCGACCCGUCUUGAAACACGGACCAAGGAGUCUAACAUCUAUGCGAGUCUUUGGGUGUCAAACCCAUAGGCGUAAUGAAAGUGAACGGAGGUGGGAGUUUCGACGCACCAUCGACCGAUCCUGAUGUUCUCGGAUGGAUUUGAGUAGGAGCAUAGCUGUUGGGACCCGAAAGAUGGUGAACUAUGCCUGAAUAGGGUGAAGCCAGAGGAAACUCUGGUGGAGGCUCGCAGCGGUUCUGACGUGCAAAUCGAUCGUCAAAUUUGGGUAUAGGGGCGAAAGACUAAUCGAACCAUCUAGUAGCUG
This 884-nucleotide ribosomal RNA is filed under the name Orbilia mammillata. RNAcentral describes it as "eukaryotic LSU rRNA". It matches the Rfam family "Eukaryotic large subunit ribosomal RNA", at positions 49 to 953 of the family's 3401-position model. Lineage: Eukaryota; Fungi; Ascomycota; Orbiliomycetes; Orbiliales; Orbiliaceae. The record is from RNAcentral.